AGAGUUUGAUCAUGGCUCAGGACGAACGCUGGCGGCGUGCUUAACACAUGCAAGUCGAGCGGUAAGGCUCCUUCGGGAGUACACGAGCGGCGAACGGGUGAGUAACACGUGAGCAAUCUGCCCUUCACUUCGGGAUAACUCCGGGAAACCGGUGCUAAUACCGAAUACGACCACUUCAGGCAUCUGAUGGUGGUGGAAAGUUCCGGCGGUGGAGGAUGAGCUCGCGGCCUAUCAGCUUGUUGGUGGGGUAAUGGCCUACCAAGGCAACGACGGGUAGCCGGCCUGAGAGGGUGACCGGCCACACUGGGACUGAGACACGGCCCAGACUCCUACGGGAGGCAGCAGUGGGGAAUAUUGGACAAUGGGCGAAAGCCUGAUCCAGCAACGCCGCGUGAGGGAUGACGGCCUUCGGGUUGUAAACCUCUUUCAGCAGGGACGAAGCGCAAGUGACGGUACCUGCAGAAGAAGCACCGGCCACUACGUGCCAGCAGCCGCGGUA
RNAcentral lists this ribosomal RNA (499 nucleotides) under uncultured Actinomycetes bacterium. Its description in RNAcentral is "bacterial SSU rRNA". It matches the Rfam family "Bacterial small subunit ribosomal RNA", at positions 8 to 522 of the family's 1533-position model. The record is from RNAcentral. Lineage: Bacteria; Bacillati; Actinomycetota; Actinomycetes.